UAUGAUGCUACACAUGUACAGCCGCUGAUCCUAAAUCCUGCAUAGACAGCAAAUCUUGUGCCGUCAUCUUCAACCGUUGUUUCUCUCUCAGAGUAGACGGUUAUAACUUGGUUACAAAGGGCUGCCAAACCAGUGCAUUAUGCAUUGGGUCUAUGGCUUGCUGUGAAGGGGACCUGUGUAACAGCACUACUCCAACCGGUCCCAGUGCUUUCCUGCUGUUGGUAUCUUCAGCCAUCCUCAAGUUUCUUUUCUGAGGCUGUGGAAUGAUGUUUUUUCUAUUUCUUUUUUUCCUUUUUUAAAAAAAAUAAAUAAAAAAUGCUGCUUUCUGAUUUUAUUUUGUACAACUGAAGAAUAAAUAACUUUGUUGUACCAUCA
Pelmatolapia mariae (spotted tilapia) is the source of this 375-nucleotide long non-coding RNA. RefSeq lists it as uncharacterized. Lineage: Eukaryota; Metazoa; Chordata; Actinopteri; Cichliformes; Cichlidae. The record is from RefSeq and is a predicted model, not a curated record. The transcript has 2 exons.